This 72-nucleotide transfer RNA is filed under the name Toxocara canis (dog roundworm). It matches the Rfam family "tRNA". Rfam says of the family: Transfer RNA (tRNA) molecules are approximately 80 nucleotides in length. The record is from Rfam by way of RNAcentral. Lineage: Eukaryota; Metazoa; Nematoda; Chromadorea; Rhabditida; Toxocaridae.
UACGUUGUGGUCUAGUGGUUAGGAUUUGCGGCUAUCACCCGCAAGGCCCGGGUUCGAUUCCCGGCAACGGAA